UUUCAGCCUAUAGUUAGCCAGGAAUCGCCGAGUUCUACCCCGUUGGAAUCAAACGGCUUUUAGCUGCGUGCCGUUCUGCCGAUGGACUGCGCAAAACACGAAGCAGAUAUUUCUCACAAUCAGCGUAGAACGAAACGGUAAGUAAGAUUCAUUGCCUUCUCAUUGUCGGAGAAGGAAAGAACGGAGUAGCAGACCUUGAGUUUCAUUUCUCUCAAAUAUUUACUGUGAAAUGAAAUUACUGUACGAGCGAUGGAUCUUGGAGUAUUCUGACUGAAUUUCGUAAUCCCUGAAUAACGAACUAAUCCAUCGGUGGCUCCUCACCAACCAAAGAAGAAUUUGAAAUCCAGAGAAAGUUCGACAGAAAGAAGAACUUAUGAAGAUGUACUUGUCGCUAGAGACGACGAUUCGCUUCGUAAAAACAUCGUCGAGACUGAUGUUCGGUUGGCCGCUGCCUCUUGGCACUAAGCGUAUCAUCAUCCUGAGACGUCGGAUUUUGAGGAUCUUAUCGACGGCUAAUAUAAUAAUUAUAGUUUCAGCACAGGUAUUCAAUAUUUACCGCAACAGAGAAGACCGCCUCAACUUGUUCUUAUGCAUGACAGAGAUGACAGCACUAUCUGGUACGAUGGCAUUUGUCUUCAUCUGUCAUAUCGACGAAGACCGCCUUCGAGCAUUGAUAACCGAUAUGACGACGUUCGUGAGAAAUGCUACGGAUCAAGAACUAGCUGUGAUUCGGUUCUACGUGAAAAAGUGUUCAUUACUCCAUGUAACGGUUAUCGCAGUGAUCGUUCUCGGUGGGAUCGUGUACCUUUUGACACCCUUUGUUCUACCUCAGCCCUUACCGAUUAAGGCCGCAUACCCGUUUUCAAUGGAGCCAAUUUGGAUUUGGGCUCUUCUGUACGGCUCACAUGUUUUCACUGCUUUCCAAGUUGCAUCCGCAUUGUGUAUGAGCCUGAUCUUCGCUGUUUUAACCUGGUUCGCCGCUGCCAGAUUUGAUAUCGUGAACACGGAAAUCGAAAGGGCGAGCAAAUUGAAUGAAGUCAACAGAUGUGUUCUGUAUCACCAAGAAUCGCUAAAGUUUGCGAGCAGACUGUCGAAGACUGCGGGUCGUAUGGCUUUUGCGGUGGCCGCAUCGAACUUCGCUGCCGUUAUGUUUGGAGGAGUCGUGAUUACUUUUAGGCAAUUCUACACACUUGAUUUCGUCAAGGUGGUGGCCUUCGAGCUGAUAGCCAUGGUCCAUCUGUUUUUGUACGCCUGGCCAGCGGACUACAUGGCUCAGUUGAGUCAACGUCUAUCGGAAUCCGUUUUACAUGGCCAGUGGCUAGGCAAAUCGCCUAAGAUGCAACGCUCGGUAGUGAUGAUGAUGCAAAGGGCCAAUGAUCCAGUCAUAAUCAAAAUCGACGGCGUGCUUCCUGCCUUGAACCUGGAAACGUUUGGAGCUGGGUUAUCGACCAGUUUCUCGUAUAUCGCAACGCUUCUCGCUAUUUUCGGCGAGUGAAUACGGAAGCAGAUAAUCCGCAGGAUCGCAACGAUUUUGUUGCAUCACGACACGUACCCAAUUUUCUGUAUAUCCGCUGGUCUAGUAAUUCAAACCCAGCGAAAAUUCGGAGAAUAGCCGGUGUAUUGUAACGAUCCUUUUCAAUAAAACAUAAUAGACGUAAACCCAUCUAGCAACGAUCCAAGCCAGUUUUCAAGAAGAUAACUUCAAAAGAUAUUUCCAUCCGUGAAUUCCAAGUCGGAAUUUGCGUCCU
This 1748-nucleotide unclassified non-coding RNA is filed under the name Neodiprion pinetum (white pine sawfly). RNAcentral's name for it is "uncharacterized LOC124216908, transcript variant X3". The record is from RNAcentral. Lineage: Eukaryota; Metazoa; Arthropoda; Insecta; Hymenoptera; Diprionidae.